GAUGAAGAACGUAGCGAAAUGCGAUAAGUAAUGUGAAUUGCAGAAUUCCGUGAAUCAUCGAAUCUUUGAACGCACAUUGCGCCCUCUGGUAUUCCGGGGGGCAUGCCUGUCCGAGCGUCAUUGCAACCCUCAAGCGCGGCUUGUGUGUUGGGCCUUCGUCCCCCGUGGACGUGCCCGAAAUGCAGUGGCGGCGUCGUGUUCCGGUGCCCGAGCGUAUGGGGCUUUGUCACCCGCUCAUGGAGGCCCGGCCGGCCCCGGCCAACCCCCAAUCGAGGACUCGUUCCACCACCAAGGUUGACCUCGGAUCAGGUAGGGAUACCCGCUGAACUUAAGCAUAUCAAUAAGCGGAGGA
RNAcentral lists this unclassified non-coding RNA (352 nucleotides) under soil metagenome. Its description in RNAcentral is "partial contains 5.8S ribosomal RNA, internal transcribed spacer 2, and large subunit ribosomal RNA". The stretch from base 1 to 120 matches the Rfam family "5.8S ribosomal RNA", at positions 35 to 154 of the family's 154-position model. The record is from RNAcentral.